Molecule: ribosomal RNA, 498 nt
Filed under: uncultured bacterium
Lineage: Bacteria
Description: partial 16S ribosomal RNA
Rfam family: Bacterial small subunit ribosomal RNA
Source: RNAcentral
GACGAACGCUGGCGGCGUGCCUAAUACAUGCAAGUCGAGCGGACGAAUCGAAAGCUUGUUUUUGAGUCGGUAGCGGCGGACGGGUGAGGAACACGUGGGCAACCUGCCCUGUAGACGGGGAUAACACCGAGAAAUCGGUGCUAAUACCGGAUAACACGAAAUGUGGCAUGACGGUUGGUUGAAAGAAGGAGCAAGCUGGCGCUACAGGAAGGGCCCGCGGCGCCUUAGCUAGUUGGUGAGGGAACGGCUCACCAAGGCGACGAUCCGUAGCCGACCUGAGGGGGUGAUAGGCCACACUGGCACUGAGACCCGGCCCCUACUCCUACGCAGGGCCCCAGUAGGGAAUCUUCCGCAAUACACGAAAGUCUCACGCAGCACCGCCGCGUGCGCGCCCACGGCCUUCGGGUCGUAAAGCUCUGUUGUUAGAGAAGAACAUGUAACGCCGUAACUGGCGUUACCGUGACGGUCCCUAACGAGAACGCCACGGCUAACUACGUG